Molecule: long non-coding RNA, 394 nt
Filed under: Ananas comosus (pineapple)
Lineage: Eukaryota; Viridiplantae; Streptophyta; Magnoliopsida; Poales; Bromeliaceae
Description: long non-coding RNA (ACOM_LNC033810)
Source: RNAcentral
GAAUAGUAAGGGCGGACUAUAAAUCGGCAAAUAAUAUCAAAAAAAGAUAUCUUUUUUUCGAGAAUAGAAAACCACUUAUAUUUUCUCUGCAUUUCCUUCGCAUUUUUUAGGAGUAGUCUACUUGUAAUCUUUUCUUUUUCCGCAUCUACUGCUUUUCGUAGGAGUAGUUCUAAAUUAGAUUUUCAGAGUCUGUAUGUUCUAAUCGCACACUCGCAUUUGUACAAGUUUUCAAAUAUAAUUUUAAUAUAUAAAGACAUUCGGCUCUUUCAGCCGAUCAAUUACUGUGCAUUUCAUCCAUUCGGCUCAUCCAGCCGAACUCGUUCUGCAGUAAGAGUUUUCGAACUUGACUAAUCCAAUCCCUCAUCAGUCGAAUCGCUUGAUCCGUCGGACGGUG